GUCUAUGGUCAUACCACCCUGAACACGCCUGAUCUUGGAAGCUAAGCAGAGUCUGGCCUUGUUAGUACUUGGAUGGGAGAAGAAGGAAUUUCUUACAUUAUUGAUC
Molecule: ribosomal RNA, 106 nt
Filed under: Prolemur simus (greater bamboo lemur)
Lineage: Eukaryota; Metazoa; Chordata; Mammalia; Primates; Lemuridae
Source: RNAcentral